GAAAAACGCGCUGAGUGGCGCGCGCUGGACAUGACAGAUACCACAGAUCUGACAGACUCGCCUCAGGGCUGAAAAUGUAUGAGCACACGACUAAUGAGAGACAUGGAAUGACCUUUUGGCCGGCUGUGUCCCAGACUGAAUGACACUGGACCACAGAAGAGGAUGAGUCAACGGCAUUGUCUUGAGAAGAUCUGUCUUUGAUGGGUCAGAGAGUUCAUUAGGAGAGCUUAAAAAGCUUUAGUGUCCACAUGGUCAACACAAGUGCCCAUUGAAAAAUAAUUAGGCACAACACUGUUGGCUCUGCUGACAAAAACAUCUAAAAAAAAUAUUUCUUUUGUCAUACCAAAUCAACAAUGCUGAGCUUUUUUCCUUUUAUUUUUAAUUGUUCAUAAUCAAACCCAAAUAAUUUUUUGGUUGUGCAAUUGAUAUGAUCAUAUUUGAUAUUCACAGUUUUACCAUGUUUUUUUUUUUGUGUGUUUAACAAACUAAAAGUUGAUUUAAUUGAGUAAAGUUUAUAUUUAAACAUUGUAAAGUAAUGGUAAAACAUUGUUUCCCAUGUAAAAUAUAUUUUGAUGUUUACUUUGUAAAAGUCAUGACUGAUUUCUUUACAAAAAGACAUUUGCUAUAGUUACCAAAAGGCCCUUUACUUUAAUAAAACAUGGCUAUGGGAACAAAAUUAAA
Danio rerio (zebrafish) is the source of this 681-nucleotide non-coding RNA. The record is from RefSeq and is a predicted model, not a curated record. Lineage: Eukaryota; Metazoa; Chordata; Actinopteri; Cypriniformes; Danionidae.